RNAcentral lists this long non-coding RNA (1512 nucleotides) under Mytilus galloprovincialis (Mediterranean mussel). The record is from RNAcentral. Lineage: Eukaryota; Metazoa; Mollusca; Bivalvia; Mytilida; Mytilidae.
AUGUGCAAAAGGAUAGAAAAUAAUGGUAUUUUUGAUGAAUAUGGUGUAGCCAAAAACUUAUUUUCAUUGAAAGAGUGUAACAAAAACAUAGUAAACCAUGUGGCCAAGACAUUCCAACUGCCAUUGGGAUAAGUCUGAUCCUGAUCAGAUAGUCUAGACAUGACAUGAGGCUAGACUCACUAUCUGAUAAUCAUGUCUAGGUUUCAGACUCACAUAACAUAAUUUUAAAUGCAUAUGCUGCAAACAUGGACAGGAGUUGGAUUGCAGUGGACAAGAAGACAAAAUGAGUUGAUGUCAUCCUUUCAUGACCCUUGCAAUCUAGCAACGGAAAUUCGUAGGCAAAACUUUCAGUUUCAUUUGUUCUGGUAAGUUUGUUAUUUAUUUCUUGGUUAGAAAACAAUUUGACACCAUAAAAAGACCUACUUUAGAAACAUCACAUCAACUCAUAAAUAUAGGAAGAAGAGCAUUGACCAUUUGUCUUUGGGAGAAAGAGGGGGGGGGUAUUUACAUAAUUUUCCGGAAGCAAACACUGAUUUAAUUUUCAUUGACAUACAUUUAUAAUGAUUUAGAAUUCUUCUGAAAUUUAUAAUAAUCAUGAUAAAAGAUAUAUUCGAUUACAAAGUUCGCCCUGAGUUUGUUUUCCAAAUUGUCAAUAAGAGUCCGUUGACUCAGGUUUUUUUCUCCUAAUUCAAAAUUAAUGGUUGCUUCAAAUCCCUGUUGUUAAAUAUAACCCAUUGAAAUAGUAAACAUUCAGUAGAUAGAUAUAGGAAGAUGUGGUAGGAGUGCCUACAUGUAUUCAUCCAAAUAACAAUUUAUAAAAGUAAACCAUUAUAGGUCAAUGUACGGCCUUCAAUACAGAGCCUUGCCUCACACGGAACAACAAGCUAUAAAAAUGAUAAAGGACCCCAAAUUUACAAGUGUAAAACCUUUUGAACAGGAAAACCAAUGGUCUAAUCAAAAACAUGUUUUACAGACUAUGAGCUUGUUUUUUUUCUCUCUAAAUAUUUGUUACUGUGAAUCUUUUUCUUUAUAUUUCCGAAGUGAAGGUCAUGUAUUACAGUUAUAAACAUGGGAAAAGAACUUGUACAUGUACUUACUUCUAUCAGUUGAUAAAAUAGAAUCAGAAUAGAAUAUGCUUACAAACUAAUCCAAAUUAAAGGGAACAGAACGGGCAACAUGAGAUUAUAACAUUACAGAUUACUCAGAUAAAACAAAUUCAAAAUGACAAUACUGAAGAAAUGAAUUACUUGAUGGUGUGAUUGAUAUCGUAGCAUUUAUGACAUUUACACAGAUUAAUUAUCAUAUCUACAAAACUUUUUUUUUCAAUGAUCCAAUGCAUUAUUUUAUAAAGCCAACUCAAUUUACAAUGUACAUAUACAUGUAGAUGUAACUCACUGUACUGAUCAUGCAAAUGCACAAAUAUACAAUAUUUUAUUUCUUAUCAACAGGUUAAUGUUGAAGAUGGAAAAGCACCAAAAAAAAUAUAAAAAUGAAAGCAGAUACAUGUAUGAU